AUUGAACGCUGGCGGCAGGCCUAACACAUGCAAGUCGAGCGGAUGAAGGGAGCUUGCUCCUGGAUUCAGCGGCGGACGGGUGAGUAAUGCCUAGGAAUCUGCCUGGUAGUGGGGGAUAACGUCCGGAAACGGGCGCUAAUACCGCAUACGUCCUGAGGGAGAAAGUGGGGGAUCUUCGGACCUCACGCUAUCAGAUGAGCCUAGGUCGGAUUAGCUAGUUGGUGGGGUAAAGGCCUACCAAGGCGACGAUCCGUAACUGGUCUGAGAGGAUGAUCAGUCACACUGGAACUGAGACACGGUCCAGACUCCUACGGGAAGCAGCAGUGGGGAAUAUUGGACAAUGGGCGAAAGCCUGAUCCAGCCAUGCCGCGUGUGUGAAGAAGGUCUUCGGAUUGUAAAGCACUUUAAGUUGGGAGGAAGGGCAGUAAGUUAAUACCUUGCUGUUUUGACGUUACCAACAGAAUAAGCACCGGCUAACCUCGUG
This 484-nucleotide ribosomal RNA is filed under the name uncultured bacterium. RNAcentral describes it as "partial 16S ribosomal RNA". It matches the Rfam family "Bacterial small subunit ribosomal RNA", at positions 30 to 507 of the family's 1533-position model. The record is from RNAcentral.